RNAcentral lists this ribosomal RNA (253 nucleotides) under uncultured bacterium. RNAcentral describes it as "partial 16S ribosomal RNA". It matches the Rfam family "Bacterial small subunit ribosomal RNA", at positions 524 to 776 of the family's 1533-position model. The record is from RNAcentral.
GACAGAGGGGGCGAGCGUUUUCCGGAGUCACUAGGCGUAAAGCGCGCGCAGGCGGCAACCUAAGUGUCGUGUGAAAGCCCCCGGCUCAACCGGGGGAGGCCAUGGCAAACUGGGUCGCUCGAGCUGCGGAGAGGCCCCUCGAAUUGCCGGUGUAGCGGUGAAAUGCGUAGAGAUCGGCAGGAAGACCAAGGGGGAAGCCAGGGGGCUGGCCGCAGGCUGACGCUGAGGCGCGACAGCGUGGGGAGCAAACCGG